UUCCUCCUCCUGAGAGACCUGCCCCCUCUAAUGUUUUAACUUUGAAGAACAGCAAGUGACUUUCUUCGCAAAGAGCAGCAGGAUUUUUCUUAAAGCUCAGAGACCCCUUUACACCGCUGAAGGCUUUCGACGUUACACCGGACUUGGACAGACCCAGGCUGCGCCGGGGCUCACCCAGCGUUUCAGGGCGACACCACCACGAGAUCUAAAGUUGUGUGUGAAUGCAGGCUGCCUGGCUGUUAAAGAAGGAGUCUGCUGUUGACAGAUUUCAAGAGGGGGUAACACAAACACUGUCCUCAGAAGGAAAUUGUCCAAAUAAAAGAGCAUCAGAAAGAGCUGGCACCCGCUGAAAAGCAAUUGAAAAUAAUCUGGAUUUAUUGUUGCAGCACUAAUUGUGUUUCAUGUCUUAUGUCUCAUAUAUUAUAUGUUUGUUGUUUUGUGUCAUUUGUCUCAAUGCUAACAUUAUUGUGUAUUGUUUUAAGAAAAGAAGGGAUACUGUAGUAAGCACACAAAAAAAAUCUAUGACUCUCUAAUCAGAUCUCAUCCUAUCUCUAUCUACCUCCUGCCAAAUUGAAUGUCAAUCUCCAUAGUGUUCCACCUAAAGAGCAGAGAUCCGGCAAUGGCAUGGUUGUUGUGGCAAACUUGCUGGGCUUGGCAAGCUGCUAACGUUAAUUCUGGUACUGUGUAAGUAAAGCAAACGUUAAAGCACGUAGGUGCGAAAAGAAACUGUAAUAAGUAAAAAGGGUGGCUAGCAGGAUGAAAUUAAGUCAUACAUUAUUACAUUAUUAAACCUGAAAUACAAAUAUAAAAUCCUACUCCUACAAUGCCGGACCAUGGAUGUUGCCGGAUCAAAAAAUCCCAGAUUUUAGAGGUGCAACCUGUACUAAGGAAUCUGAGUUCUAAGGGCCAGAAGCUACUCCUGCUAUAUACAUACAGGAUUUUAAAAAAGGAAAACAAGGUGGAAAUGCCUCCAAAGGUUUCUGUGCUAAGUGCUACCAGCACAUGAUUGGCAUUGUGCAAGUGUGUAGGGGUGGGGAAACAUUUGUACAGGUGAUUUCAGUGAGCAUCUGUCUUGAAUCCCACAAUUCCCUCCAAGAACAGCAGAUUUCUGAGAAAUCCAUGCCAGAGCUGAUGCUUCAAAAGCAUCACCUCCCACUACAAUUUCAAACACUCAUACCCAAUUGGAAAAGGCGUGAAGGGGAAAGCACGCACUGCACGACUAUAGGGCAGAAACCCAUGGUAACUCAGCUUGCUGCCAGUAAAUUGCAGAAAAUUGGGGAACGCAUGAAAGGCUGACUCCACAUUAAUGUACACUGGUUUGGAGUCCAGGAAAGGACAAACAUUCAGAUCACUUGUACAUAGGCAGCUAAGUCUUCAAAUUAUGUUGCCCACCAAAGAAAUAUAAUUGUCACCAUAUCUGAGUUGCGGUAUCCUUCUCACAGACAUUGAAUGGAUUGGUGAUUGGUGUUCCAACUAAACCUCUAAUGCAAAAUCUUAACUGUGGUCUCAUGGUUUUAUCUCAGUUAUUGCGAGAGAUCAGCACAUCUGAC
Molecule: non-coding RNA, 1550 nt
Organism: Pelodiscus sinensis (Chinese soft-shelled turtle)
Lineage: Eukaryota; Metazoa; Chordata; Testudines; Trionychidae
Source: RefSeq, a predicted model, not a curated record